GACGUAGGGCGCGAGCGUUGUCCGGAUUUAUUGGGCGUAAAGAGCUCGUAGGCGGCUUGUUGCGUCGACCGUGAAAACCCGGGGCUCAACUUCGGGCUUGCGGUCGAUACGGGCGGGCUAGAGUUCGGUAGGGGAGACUGGAAUUCCUGGUGUAGCGGUGAAAUGCGCAGAUAUCAGGAGGAACACCGGUGGCGAAGGCGGGUCUCUGGGCCGAUACUGACGCUGAGACGCGAAAGCGUGGGGAGCGAACAGG
RNAcentral lists this ribosomal RNA (253 nucleotides) under uncultured bacterium. RNAcentral describes it as "partial 16S ribosomal RNA". It matches the Rfam family "Bacterial small subunit ribosomal RNA", at positions 524 to 776 of the family's 1533-position model. The record is from RNAcentral.